UAGGGUAGCCAAUAUCUAUUUUAAUCUGUCAGGAUCCCAUCUCCCUGCGCCUCUUUCUCCUCUCAUCCCGCGAGACCUCCAUGGUCCAUAGAUCGCAUCUACCUUCUCCUCUACACCUAUCCGCGUUGCAGCCCUCACCUCGCCGGUCUCCUGGACCAUGGCUUGUCCAUGAUGCUUCCUGCAAGUCAUCGAUAGCCUCGACCACGGUGCGGCUGCACUGCCGCCAGUAGCCUCGACCCUGGGGCGCCCGUGCUGUCGCCUGCACGUCGCCGGUCGCCUCGACGCCGGUGUGGCCAUGCAGCCGCCUGCACGUUGCUGGUAGCCCCGCCCCCGGUGCGCCCGUGCUGUCGCCUGCAUUUCAUCGGUCACCUCGAUCCUGGUGCGGCCGCGCUGCCGCCUGCACGUCGCCCGUAGCUUCGACCCCGAUGUGCCGGCGCUACCGCAUUUUCAUCUCCAUUCGCUCCGCUGCUGCAGGAACAUGAUAUGAGUGAGCUCAACAAAGGCUUUUUGGCACUAUCACAUGGUCCAUUGGAAAACGUAACAUGUGUUACUGGCUAUGACAGAAAUAGAUUCAGAUGUCGUGUUCAAAUUCAAGUUAGACUCCUAUGCACACAUACCAGUGGGGUGGCUGUCCUUUCAGAAGAAGGGGAUAAUAAUUGGUAAUGCAGUAGAAUAUUAUGGGAUAUUGACAGAGAUAGUCGAGCCGCAAUAUUUAGAUGGAAGGCGUGUGACAUUAUUCCAUUGCAACUAGAUUCACGUAUUUAACAAAGAGCAUGGAAUGAAGUAAGACAACAAGAAUGGAAUCGUUUGGCUUAACCUGCAGCGUUUGCUUCAGACAAAUGAGCCUUUCAUUCUGGAUAGCCAAGUUUUUGUUAUCACAGUGAGUCAUCAUAGGUAUGGAAACUUGACAACAUUAGCUUGGGAAAGAUGCUACCACAGAUGAAUAAGUCUGGACUGGUACACAAAGGUAUUGCUAGGCAGACCUUCACAGAGAAAUCAAGUCAAUUAGCAGAUUUCAGCAGAAAAGGGUUACCGACAGGCUCAAACGCAAGAUGCGGAACUGUGAAAAAAGUACAAGUUAGCUACAAAAGAUGGAAAUGAUGCCCAAACAAAUACACCAAUCUUGUUUAGUAUAAAUUGGGAUGAAGGUGGUUCCAAAAGUGAGUUUCUAUGAAUGAUCAAGUUGAUGCCAGCAAUGAUAAUGACAUGGGAAAUUAAAUGGAUGAAUUUUAUGGUAAUAAAAAUCUGGAAAGUGAAGAAGUGUAGGGCAACCAUGGCCUUGCAAGGAGUUUUUGGCACAAACUAAGACCAUAGUUUAACUCGAAGAAAAGUUCAAUGGCACGGUGUAAGAAGUUUCCGAAAUUAAGCGACUUGUGUCUGGUAGACUCUAAGUGAGAGUUCUCAUGAAAGCCAACAUGAUCAAGAUUGAUGGUCCACCGUGAUAUAUAGAAGUAGCAAUUAUCAGGAGGUGUUGUAAGAGCUGAUGAAGAAUGAUAUGCAUUCAAACAAUGCUGGUGUUCCUCGAUUGAACAUAAAUAAAUAUUAUAUUUUAUAGUUGUCUCGUUUUCUAGAUAGAUAUGAUCAAGUCCAUUGGUCCUAUAAGGAUUGCUUUUGACUCAAAUUUCUCAAAUGAUAUUUUUUCAGAAUUGUAUGUCGGAAUAUUGGUAUUUCCAUCUAUUAAUGAAAGAGGCUAUGACCCUUGCAAUUCA
Molecule: long non-coding RNA, 1709 nt
Organism: Triticum aestivum (bread wheat)
Lineage: Eukaryota; Viridiplantae; Streptophyta; Magnoliopsida; Poales; Poaceae
Exons: 8
Source: RefSeq, a predicted model, not a curated record